AGAGUUUGAUCAUGGCUCAGAUUGAACGCUGGCGGCAUGCUUUACACAUGCAAGUCGAGCGGCAGCGCGGGGGCAACUCUGGCGGCGAGCGGCGAACGGGGUGAGUAACACAUCGGAACGUAUCCAUAAGUGGGGGGAUAGCCCGGCGAAAGCCGGAUUAAUACCGCAUACGAUCUACGGAUGAAAGCUGGGGAUCGCAAGACCUGGCGCUUUAGGAGCGGCCGAUGUCCGAUUAGCUAGUUGGUGGGGUAAAGGCCUACCAAGGCGACGAUCGGUAGCUGGUCUGAGAGGAUGAUCAGCCACACUGGGACUGAGACACGGCCCAGACUCCUACGGGAGGCAGCAGUGGGGAAUUUUGGACAAUGGGGGCAACCCUGAUCCAGCCAUGCCGCGUGCGGGAAGAAGGCCUUCGGGUUGUAAACCGCUUUUGGUCGGAAAGAAAGGUCUGGGGCUAAUACCUCUGGGCUUUGACGGUACCGGCAGAAUAAGCACCGGCUAACUACGUGCCAGCAGCCGCGGUAAUACGUAGGGUGCGAGCGUUAAUCGGAAUUACUGGGCGUAAAGCGUGCGCAGGCGGUUUGUUAAGUCCGCUGUGAAAGCCCCGGGCUCAACCUGGGAAUGGCGGUGGAAACUGGCGAGCUAGAGUGUGGCAGAGGGGGGUGGAAUUCCACGUGUAGCAGUGAAAUGCGUAGAGAUGUGGAGGAACACCAAUGGCGAAGGCAGCCCCCUGGGUUAACACUGACGCUCAGGCACGAAAGCGUGGGGAGCAAACAGGAUUAGAUACCCUAGUAGUCC
Molecule: ribosomal RNA, 795 nt
Filed under: uncultured bacterium
Lineage: Bacteria
Description: bacterial SSU rRNA
Rfam family: Bacterial small subunit ribosomal RNA
Source: RNAcentral